Molecule: ribosomal RNA, 717 nt
Filed under: Triticum aestivum (bread wheat)
Lineage: Eukaryota; Viridiplantae; Streptophyta; Magnoliopsida; Poales; Poaceae
Description: partial small subunit ribosomal RNA
Source: RNAcentral
UCGUUAUGUGCCACAAUCUUAAGAGCCAAGUAUUUUCCAGAUGGCGAUAUGACGAACGCACGUUUAAAAAAGGGCUCCUCGUUUACUUGGCAAAGCAUUAUGGUGGGAGUAGAAUCGUUAAGAAAUGGCUAUAUAUGGAGAGUUGGAAAUGGAGAAAAUACUGAUAUAUGAAGACAUGCAUGGAUCCCGAAUUAUGUGAAUAGGAGAAUUAUUACUCCUAGACAAGGGAAUCUUCUAACAAAAGUGGGCGAUCUUAUUGACCCAGCCACGAAUAUUUGGGAUGAAGAUUUGGUGAGACAAACACUGUGGCCAAUUGAUGCUCAUCGUGUCCUCGCGAUCCCUCUUUCUAUGCAUAAUAUGUCGGAUUUCAUUGCUUGGAGCUAUUAUAAGAAUGGCUUGUUUACAGUUUGAUCAACUUAUUUGGAAGAAUGGAAUAAAUAACAUGGGAGAAAAUUAGAAUACACAAAUGGCAUGGGUAUAAGUAAGUUCAAUCCUAUUUGGGGUACGAUUUGGAAAUUAGCUUGUCCAGCGAAGGUAAAAAUCUUUAUAUGGCGUACACUUCAUGGGACCCUACCGUGCCGCGUUACGUUAACAAAUAGACACAUGAAAAUUUCGCCCAUUUGCCCACCUUAUUCGAAUGGGUCAGAGGAUACAAAACACGUGUUGUUUCUAUGCUAGAAGGCAAAAGAAAUGUGGGGUAAAUUGGGGAUGUAUUGA